Molecule: ribosomal RNA, 311 nt
Filed under: Ruminococcus flavefaciens
Lineage: Bacteria; Bacillati; Bacillota; Clostridia; Eubacteriales; Oscillospiraceae
Description: bacterial SSU rRNA
Rfam family: Bacterial small subunit ribosomal RNA
Source: RNAcentral
ACGCUGGCGGCACGCUUAACACAUGCAAGUCGAACGGAGAUAAUUUGAGUUUACUUGGAUUAUCUUAGUGGCGGACGGGUGAGUAACACGUGAGCAACCUGCCUUUGAGAGAGGGAUAGCUUCUGGAAACGGAUGGUAAUACCUCAUAACAUACAGACAUCGCAUGAAGUUUGUAUCAAAGAUUUAUCACUCAAAGAUGGGCUCGCGUCUGAUUAGAUAGUUGGUGAGGUAACGGCUCACCAAGUCGACGAUCAGUAGCCGGCCUGAGAGGGUGAACGGCCACAUUGGGACUGAGACACGGCCCAGACUCC